UACGAAGGGGGCUAGCGUUGUUCGGAAUACUGGGCGUAAAGCGCGCGCAGGCGGUCUUCCAAGUCAGUGGUGAAAGCCCGGAGCUCAACUCCGGAACUGCCAUUGAAACUGUUGGACUUGAGUACGAGAGAGGUGAGUGGAAUUCCCAGUGUAGAGGUGAAAUUCGUAGAUAUUGGGGAAGAACACCGGUGGCGAAGGCGGGCU
This 204-nucleotide ribosomal RNA is filed under the name uncultured bacterium. RNAcentral describes it as "partial 16S ribosomal RNA". It matches the Rfam family "Bacterial small subunit ribosomal RNA", at positions 524 to 726 of the family's 1533-position model. The record is from RNAcentral.